GGGUCAGUAGGUUGGUCGUGCCACCGGUACGUACUGGUCUCACUGAUUCCUCCUUCCUGAAGAACCUUAAUGCCACUAAUUUGGUGUUGCGGGGAAACAGGACUGUUACUUUGAAAAAAUUAGAGUGUUUAAAGCAAGCUAACGCUUGAAUACAUUAGCAUGGAAUAAUGAAAUAGGACGAUCGAUCCUAUUUUGUUGGUUUCUAGGAUUGACGUA
RNAcentral lists this ribosomal RNA (216 nucleotides) under Glomeromycotina sp. RNAcentral describes it as "partial small subunit ribosomal RNA". The stretch from base 40 to 216 matches the Rfam family "Eukaryotic small subunit ribosomal RNA", at positions 686 to 864 of the family's 1831-position model. Lineage: Eukaryota; Fungi; Glomeromycota. The record is from RNAcentral.